RNAcentral lists this long non-coding RNA (1003 nucleotides) under Marmota monax (woodchuck). Lineage: Eukaryota; Metazoa; Chordata; Mammalia; Rodentia; Sciuridae. The record is from RNAcentral.
AGAACAAUCAGUUAAAGUUUUGUUUUAAUUAAAAUGGAAUCUAUGCAGUAGCUUCACACAACACUAACUUUUUUACCCUGGGGUCACAAAUUACUUUUCAAUGACAAUGCCUAAGAGACUGAGGGUAGACUUUAAGGAUGAUAACCUCCCCUCCUAUCUCAGAAGGAGUUAAUAUAGAAGGAGUUAAUAUAUAUUCUCCGAAAAGCCUACUUAUAUAGUUAAACCUUCUCCUACAUCUUAUAACUUAGAUUUCAGAAGGUCCCCACUAUUUCCAGAACUGAUAAGCUCAUGAUGUCUAAACUGCUUCUGCAAACCCUGAUUUAUGCUGAACACUACUCCACAUCCAGAGACUUGAAUUUUUGUAUGUGUCUAUCAGAAGCUGCUUACAUAGCCAGACCUCAACAGAAAUCCUGGGAACUGAGUCUUUCAUGAGCUUCCCUGAUUGUCAACAUUUCACAAAUAUUGUCAAAACACAUUCCUGGGGGUGGGGGGUUAGUAAAUAUGCCUUAUGUGAUUCCAUUGGAAGAGAAACCUUAGAAACUUGUCCUUCUUUUUCCAGGACUCUAUCCCAUCCCAUGUAUGCUGUUUCCCUUCAGUGAGUUUUCUUUAUAUCCAUUUGGCACCACAAUUCUUAGGCAUGAGUAAGCCAAUAUGCCCAGUUCACCUAAUGAAUGAUCACACUGGAGGUGGUGUUGGUAACCCCCAACACACCUUCAAACCACCUCCUUACCUCCUCAAUACUUUUCUUUUUAACCCCAUCUAAGCUUGCAUCUUUUCUCUAUUCUUUCUUUGUACUUAUUUUUCAUCUCCCCCUUUAUUUUUUCCACUCCAUAGAAGACAGAAUCUGCUGGCUACAUGAUUCUUGGCAUUUGAUUCCUUAACAUAUCCAAUCAUAUAUUCACCUCUAGAAAUUUACUUAUUCCUUCAGUAAGUACUUAGCAGUAUUUCAUUGCAUGUUGAGUUUUAUAAAACAAGCUAGAGAGAAAGUCUGAUUGAGUCCUCC